RNAcentral lists this ribosomal RNA (425 nucleotides) under uncultured bacterium. RNAcentral's name for it is "bacterial SSU rRNA". It matches the Rfam family "Bacterial small subunit ribosomal RNA", at positions 354 to 796 of the family's 1533-position model. The record is from RNAcentral.
GUGGGGAAUAUUGGACAAUGGGCGAAAGCCUGAUCCAGCAAUGCCGCGUGAGUGAUGAAGGCCUUAGGGUUGUAAAGCUCUUUUACCCGGGAUGAUAAUGACAGUACCGGGAGAAUAAGCCCCGGCUAACUCCGUGCCAGCAGCCGCGGUAAUACGGAGGGGGCUAGCGUUGUUCGGAAAUACUGGGCGUAAAGCGAACGUAGGCGGCUUGGCAAGUCAGGGGUGAAAUCCCAGUGCUCAACACUGGAACUGCCUUUGAAACUGCCAGGCUUGAAUCCUGGAGAGGCGAGUGGAAUUCCGAGUGUAGAGGUGAAAUUCGUAGAUAUUCGGAAGAACACCAGUGGCGAAGGCGACUCGCUGGACAGGUAUUGACGCUGAGGUUCGAAAGCGUGGGGAGCAAACAGGAUUAGAAACCCUAGUAGUCC